This 532-nucleotide ribosomal RNA is filed under the name uncultured bacterium. RNAcentral describes it as "partial 16S ribosomal RNA". It matches the Rfam family "Bacterial small subunit ribosomal RNA", at positions 355 to 903 of the family's 1533-position model. The record is from RNAcentral.
UGGGGAAUAUUGCACAAUGGGCGAAAGCCUGAUGCAGCAACGCCGCGUGAGUGAUGAAGGUCUUCGGAUUGUAAAGCUCUGUCUUUUGGGACGAUAAUGACGGUACCAAAGGAGGAAGCCACGGCUAACUACGUGCCAGCAGCCGCGGUAAUACGUAGGUGGCGAGCGUUGUCCGGAUUUACUGGGCGUAAAGGGUGCGUAGGCGGAUGUUUAAGUGAGAUGUGAAAUACCCGGGCUUAACUUGGGUGCUGCAUUUCAAACUGGAUAUCUAGAGUGCAGGAGAGGAGAAUGGAAUUCCUAGUGUAGCGGUGAAAUGCGCAGAGAUUAGGAAGAACACCAGUGGCGAAGGCGAUUCUCUGGACUGUAACUGACGCUGAGGCACGAAAGCGUGGGUAGCAAACAGGAUUAGAUACCCUGGUAGUCCACGCCGUAAACGAUGAGUACUAGGUGUAGGAGGUAUCGACCCCUUCUGUGCCGCAGUAAACACAUUAAGUACUCCGCCUGGGAAGUACGAUCGCAAGAUUAAAACUCU